This is a long non-coding RNA of Selaginella moellendorffii, 636 nucleotides long. RefSeq lists it as uncharacterized. The record is from RefSeq and is a predicted model, not a curated record. NCBI's taxonomy places the organism in Eukaryota, Viridiplantae, Streptophyta, Lycopodiopsida, Selaginellales, Selaginellaceae. The transcript has 4 exons.
GUCUCGAUCCACCAGCUUUGACAGUCCGAAAUCGGUGACCUGUAAGCUUUGCUGUUCCAGGGAGAUGGAAGAGCAAGCGACGUUACCUUUGGAGAAAAGUUCUCGUCUAAGAAUAAGUUAAGCCUCGGGCCAUUCCCAGCGCAAUCUCGUACCGCUUUGGCCAGUCCAGCAGUCGCUCCUUUCCUGGAGUUUCACAGGACAGAGGAGAACUUCUUCGGGAGGAGCUGUGGGAGAAAAUCGGACUUGCUCUUCCUAGUGAACCACAUCGUUGAAAGGGAGGCAAAGCCGAAGAGGAGGAUGAGGAGGAUGAGGAGUGGAAAGAACGCUGUUGCAUCAAAGAAACACAACGCACUUUUGUCUCCACUAUAGAGCGAGCCACCCCUUCCAGGUUUGUUCGUGAAAGUUUACUGAUUUAAAAGCUAGAACGAUUGGCUCGCUAAAAGCUUGAGAAGAGAAUCAUUGUGUUCCUUUCGUUGCAGCAACCGAAUCGCUUGCGCAGAUAAAAUCUCAGCGAGCGAAGCCAGAAAAAACGAAGAAAAAAUCCCAGAGUCCUGCGCGAGCAAGCAACGCGAGAGCUUGUAUUUUUGCUUAAAUCCGCCAACCAAUGCCAGCAACUUAAAAACAUAGAUUUGUCAC